RNAcentral lists this ribosomal RNA (492 nucleotides) under uncultured bacterium. RNAcentral's name for it is "partial 16S ribosomal RNA". It matches the Rfam family "Bacterial small subunit ribosomal RNA", at positions 29 to 507 of the family's 1533-position model. The record is from RNAcentral.
AGUGAACGCUGGCGGUAGGCCUAACACAUGCAAGUCGAACGGCAGCACAGUAAGAGCUUGCUCUUACGGGUGGCGAGUGGCGGACGGGUGAGGAAUACAUCGGAAUCUACUUUUUCGUGGGGGAUAACGUAGGGAAACUUACGCUAAUACCGCGUACGACCUACGGGUGAAAGCAGGGGAUCUUCGGACCUUGCGCGAUUGAAUGAGCCGAUGUCGGAUUAGCUAGUUGGCGGGGUAAAGGCCCACCAAGGCGGCGAUCCGUAGCUGGUCUGAGAGGAUGAUCAGCCACACUGGAACUGAGACACGGUCCAGACUCCUACGGGAGGCAGCAGUGGGGAAUAUUGGACAAUGGGCGCAAGCCUGAUCCAGCCAUACCGCGUGGGUGAAGAAGGCCUUCGGGUUGUAAAGCCCUUUUGUUGGGAAAGAAAAGCAGCAGGUUAAUACCCCGCUGUUCUGACGGUACCCAAAGAAUAAGCACCGGCUAACUUCGUG